AAGGUAUAUUUUGGUUCUACGUAUUCCCGGCAUUAAGUAACGCACGCAAAACCUCAGCAACAAUGGCGCUUAAAACCCUAUCCACUUUCCUCUCACCUCUUUCUCUCCCCAAUCCCAAAUUUCCGCAACUCCUCUCCACCAAACCGUGCCUCAUUCUCUGCGAAUUUCCACGCCCUCAGAAAUCGCGUUUGCCCGCCGCCGAAUCCGAAGGCACCGGCGCCGCUGCUCCCUCGCCGGGAGAGAAGUUCCUCGAACGCCAGCAAUCAAUCGACGCUGCUAAGCUCAUUCUCAAACAGAACCAAAAGAACAAAAAGAGAGAGAAGCCUUUAAAAGCUUCUAAAACCGUCGCUUCUUGCUACGGUUGCGGCGCUCCGUUACACACUUCGGAUGUGGAUGCACCUGGCUACGUCGAUCCUGAAACCUAUGAAUUGAAGAAGAAACAUCACCAGCUUAGAACCGUUCUCUGUAGGCGGUGCCGGCUUUUGUCUCAUGGCAAGAUGAUAACUGCUGUUGGAGGACACGGAGGAUAUUCUGGCGGUAAAUUAUUUGUUACUGCUGAAGAGCUUCGAGAAAAGUUGUCUCACUUGCGUCACGAGAAAGCUCUAAUUGUCAAAUUGGUUGAUAUUGUUGACUUCAAUGGCAGUUUUUUGUCUCGUGUGCGAGAUCUUGCUGGUGCUAAUCCAAUAAUAUUGGUGGUGACUAAGGUUGAUCUCCUUCCAAGAGAUACUGAUCUUAAUUGUAUUGGGGAUUGGGUUGUGGAGGCUACCACAAGAAAAAAACUGAAUGUUCUCAGCGUCCAUCUGACCAGUUCCAAAUCAUUGGUUGGAAUUACUGGAGUGAUAUCAGAAAUCCAGAAAGAGAAGAAGGGAAGAGAUGUUUACAUUCUGGGUUCAGCUAAUGUUGGGAAAUCUGCUUUCAUCAAUGCCUUACUAAAAACAAUGGCUAUAAAUGAUCCAGUGGCUGCAUCUGCUCAAAGAUACAAACCAAUACAAUCUGCAGUUCCUGGAACAACCUUAGGGCCAAUUCAAAUCAAUGCUUUCCUAGGAGGAGGGAAAUUGUUUGAUACACCUGGAGUUCAUCUCUACCAUAGGCAAAGUGCAGUUGUUAAUUCUGAAGAUUUACCCUCACUUGCUCCUCAAAGCCGACUAAGGGGCCGGUCUUUCCCUAGUUCUCAAGUCUCUUCAGACAAUGUAGAAGAAGGAGCUUCUAUAGUGAAUGGCUUGAAUGCAUUCUCAAUAUUUUGGGGAGGUCUUGUUAGAAUUGAUGUCUUGAAGGUUCUCCCAGAAACUUGUUUGACAUUUUAUGGGCCCAAUAGACUACCAAUUCAUAUGGUACCCACAGAGCAAGCAGAUGAAUUUUAUCAGAGUUGCAUUAGAGACAAUGGAUUCUCUCUUUUUCGUUGCUUUCUCUCUUGCACACUGACUUUAUAUUUGUUGUCUUCUUGGGCUAUUUUGGUCCUGGUGCUCUAUAUUCUCCUUCUACACGAGGCAUCUGGCAGUAAUAUAUACCAAUGUUGUCAUUUGAAAGAUCUAUUGAUUUGAUUGUUGAUGUAUGAGUAGUUUCCUCCAAUUGUCUCUUCAUGUCAACAAAGCUUGGGAGUUGUAACACUUGUAAAUUUAAGGAUCUUCCCUCCUCUAACCUGAAUGAUGGCUUUGCCUUAUUGUCUCAGAAAGAACUUGGAGUUUUGCUGACCCCUCCAAGUGGAAGAGAAAAGGGCGAGAACUGGAAAGGACUUGAAUCAGAACGUAAAUUGCAAAUAAAAUUUGAAGAUGUGAAAAGACCAGCUUGUGAUAUAGCUGUAUCAGGUCUAGGAUGGUUUACUGUUGAGCCAGUUAGUAGGUCACACAAAAUCUCACAACCCAAACCUAUAGAGGCUGCUGGUGAAUUGCUUUUAGCGGUGCAUGUCCCCAAGCCUGUUGAGGUUUUUGUGAGGUCGCCAAUACCAGUAGGCAAGGCAGGAGCAGAGUGGUACCAGUAUAGAGAAUUAACAGAGAAAGAAGAGGAAAUGAGACCAAAAUGGUACUUCUAAACUCCGCUAUGUAUUUCUUUUUUGGCAGGAGGAGCGGUUGCAUUUCCAUUUCUGACUUCAAUCUUCGACCUUUUCCAAAAUCUGGGACCAACCAAUUUUCCCUGUAUUAUUAAUGAGAUUAAUUCCUAAGUUGUAUACUGACGACAUCAUUUCAAAAGAAGGAAGUUUAAAGAUAACUAAGAAAUGAUAGCAUUUUCUCACAAUGUGUACUUAGUAGAAUGUUGAGUGAGAUUCUUAUUAAUUUUUCUUGUGUAAAAUUUCACUCUUGCUACCAAGGAUGAAGUU
RNA transcript from Abrus precatorius (Indian licorice), 2314 nucleotides. It is a transcript of the gene named NO-associated protein 1, chloroplastic/mitochondrial, with no coding region annotated. The record is from RefSeq and is a predicted model, not a curated record. Lineage: Eukaryota; Viridiplantae; Streptophyta; Magnoliopsida; Fabales; Fabaceae. The transcript is spliced from 13 exons.